Molecule: non-coding RNA, 440 nt
Organism: Dermacentor andersoni
Lineage: Eukaryota; Metazoa; Arthropoda; Arachnida; Ixodida; Ixodidae
Source: RefSeq, a predicted model, not a curated record
UUUCUGCGUGGCUGUACUUUGCACCGAAAUCAGCGCAGAUCAUCGCACGUGCCUACGUGUUCGACUAGCCGAGCGAAACUGCGACCAGGAGGUGCUACUGUCGGCUGUUUCCGGCGGCACUGCAGCAUCACGGGAUAUUGGAGGUAUCCAUAAAAGAUCGCUGCUUUCUGCGUGGCUGUACUUUGCACCGAAAUCAGCGCAGAUCAUCGCACGUGCCUACGUGUUCGACUAGCCGAGCCAAACUGCGACCAGGAGGUGCUACUGUCGGCUGUUUCCGGCGGCACUGCAGCAUCACGGGAUAUUGGAGGUAUCCAUAAAAGAUCGCUGCUUUCUGCGUGGCUGUACUUUGCACCGAAAUCAGCGCAGAUCAUCGCACGUGCCUACGUGUUCGACUAGCCGAGCCAAACUGCGACCAGGAGGUGCUACUGUCGGCUGUUUCC